RNAcentral lists this non-coding RNA (28 nucleotides) under Mus musculus (house mouse). Lineage: Eukaryota; Metazoa; Chordata; Mammalia; Rodentia; Muridae. The record is from RNAcentral.
GCCUACCUCUGUAUCUUUGAGAGGAGCC